This 497-nucleotide ribosomal RNA is filed under the name uncultured bacterium. RNAcentral describes it as "partial 16S ribosomal RNA". It matches the Rfam family "Bacterial small subunit ribosomal RNA", at positions 28 to 507 of the family's 1533-position model. The record is from RNAcentral.
GAUGAACGCUGGCGGCGUGCCUAAUACAUGCAAGUCAAGCGAACGGACGAGAAGCUUGCUUCUCUGAUGUUAGCGGCGGACGGGUGAGUAACACGUGGAUAACCUACCUAUAAGACUGGGAUAACUUCGUGAAACCGGAGCUAAUACCGGCUAAUAUUUUGAACCGCAUGGUUCAAAAGUGAAAGACGGUCUUGCUGUCACUUAUAGAUGGAUCCGCGCUGCAUUAGCUAGUUGGUAAGGUAACGGCUUACCAAGGCAACGAUGCAUAGCCGACCUGAGAGGGUGAUCGGCCACACUGGAACUGAGACACGGUCCAGACUCCUAAGGGAGGCAGCAGUAGGGAAUAUUCCGCAAUGGGCGAAAGCCUGACGGAGCAACGCCGCGUGAGUGAUGAAGGUCUUCGGAUCGUAAAACUCUGUUAUUAGGGAAGAACAUAUGUGUAAGUAACUGUGCACAUCUUGACGGUACCUAAUCAGAAAGCCACGGCUAACUACGUG